UACGUAGGGGGCAAGCGUUAUCCGGAUUUACUGGGUGUAAAGGGAGCGUAGACGGCAGAGCAAGUCUGAAGUGAAAGCCCGCGGCCCAACUGCGGGACUGCUUUGGAAACUGCCCGGCUAGAGUGCUGGAGAGGUAAGCGGAAUUCCUAGUGUAGCGGUGAAAUGCGUAGAUAUUAGGAGGAACACCAGUGGCGAAGGCGGCUUACUGGACAGUAACUGACGUUGAGGCUCGAAAGCGUGGGGAGCAAACAGG
This 253-nucleotide ribosomal RNA is filed under the name uncultured bacterium. RNAcentral describes it as "partial 16S ribosomal RNA". It matches the Rfam family "Bacterial small subunit ribosomal RNA", at positions 524 to 776 of the family's 1533-position model. The record is from RNAcentral.